AAACAAUGAAUUGCACUCAUAUUUUCUAGAAGAAAAAAAAAAAGAAAAAACAACCAGCAGAAAAUC
Molecule: small nucleolar RNA, 66 nt
Filed under: Oryza sativa Indica Group (long-grained rice)
Lineage: Eukaryota; Viridiplantae; Streptophyta; Magnoliopsida; Poales; Poaceae
Also listed under: 1 other name
Description: Small nucleolar RNA SNORD34
Source: RNAcentral